This 508-nucleotide ribosomal RNA is filed under the name Cyclophorus sp. (in: gastropods). RNAcentral describes it as "Cyclophorus sp. partial 16S ribosomal RNA". It matches the Rfam family "Bacterial large subunit ribosomal RNA", at positions 1819 to 2597 of the family's 2925-position model. The record is from RNAcentral. Lineage: Eukaryota; Metazoa; Mollusca; Gastropoda; Architaenioglossa; Cyclophoridae.
GUCUCUUUGAAGUAGUACCAUAAGGAGUCUGGCCUGCCCAGUGAUGUGAUUUUUAACGGCCGCGGUAUUUUGACCGUGCAAAGGUAGCAUAAUAAUUUGCUUUUUAAUUGAAGGCUAGAAUGAAUGGUUAGACGAGAGUAAAACUGUCUCUUUUAUAUUUAUUAGAAAUUAUCUUUUGGGUUAAAAGGCCCAAAUACUACUAAAAGACGAGAAGACCCUGUUGAGCUUUUAAAAAAGUAAGAUAACUAAUUAUCCUAGAAAUUUAUAGUUAUUUCAAAAUUUUAGUUGGGGCGACUGUGGAGUAAAAAAAACCUCCAUUUACUAAGAGAUAAUCUACUAUUUUUGAUCCAUUGUUUAUGAUAAAAGAAAUUAGUUACCAAAGGGAUAACAGCGUAAUUCUCUUUGAGAGGCCUUAUCGAUAAGAGAGAUUGCGACCUCGAUGUUGGAUUAAAAUAUACUGAAAGAUGCAGAAGUUUUUUAAGUUAGUCUGUUCGACUAUUGAAAUUUU